This is a ribosomal RNA of Mustela putorius furo (domestic ferret), 112 nucleotides long. The record is from Ensembl. NCBI's taxonomy places the organism in Eukaryota, Metazoa, Chordata, Mammalia, Carnivora, Mustelidae.
GUCUACGGCCAUACCACCCUGAACGCGCCCGAUCUCGUCUGAUCUCGGAAGCUAAGCAGGGUCGGGCCUGGUUAGUACUUGGAUGGGAAAAUGAAAAGCUUAACUACAGUUC